CACAAAGAUCAUAAGUUCAAGGCCAGCAUGGGCUACCUAGCAAAAUCCUAUCAGAAGAAGAAAAAACGCAGUUGGAUGGUUGCCAUCUCUGUUUCUAGAGUCGAGUUUGGAGUUUAUGUCCAGUUGUCCCCUCAAAGCCUCAUGACAGCAGAAACUUGAAUCCCUUAUCUGGAAAGCUCCCUCCACGUGGCUUCCACCGACUGAAGAGGAAGAAAACAAGUUGACAGAAAUACUCAUUUUAACCAAUAGGAGUCUACCAGAAUUUUUACUGAGAUGGAGAAGAUAACUCACGACUUCGGCUUUUGUCUUCUGAAAUUGAAAUUCCUUCUGCACCAUAACGCUUACAUCAGGAUUCCAGGUGUGCUCCUUGCUCAGGAGCCAAGCUGAGGGACGAGGACCUGAGCAGAGACGCUGUCCUCCGGGCGAGUCGCUUCUGUGUCUCUCUGCUGUAUGAAUCAUUGAUAUUUCGUGGACGCCUCUGUGAGCUUCCUCUCCUGAAGCUGUGGACAUGGGGCUUCACGUUUCUUCUGCUUUUUAUUAUCUAUAUUUUCUAGUCCUGUUCA
Molecule: long non-coding RNA, 563 nt
Organism: Octodon degus (degu)
Lineage: Eukaryota; Metazoa; Chordata; Mammalia; Rodentia; Octodontidae
Exons: 3
Source: RefSeq, a predicted model, not a curated record